CACCAGUUGCCAGCUAGUUAGUUGUCACUUCUGCGUCCGGAGCUGUUCCUCCAAUAAAUAAAGAAUGGUGUUGGCCCCUUAUAGUCCACUAGUUCCACUUAACCAACCCCUAACUAGUUAUUUAGAUAUGGAGGGCCACGCUGGAGAGAAGUAACAAGUACUAACCUUCCACCUCCAUCAAAUCGUCUCUUGUUUAAUAAAACCGUUAAGCCCAAUUCAGACUUCUGUCUCCAUGAGCUAGGAAGUAUUGCAGCAAAGGGGAGGACGCAAAGAACAGAGCAUAGAGACUACCAGAAAUCCCUGAGAAGCACGGGAAAUAACUCGUAUUCUCCUCGCAUAACCAAGCAAUGGCAGUGAUUAAAAUCGAUAUCAUUUCAGACGCGAUAUGUCCCUGGUGCUUCAUCGGCUACCGCGACCUCCAAAAGGCCAUUUCCCUCUACCAAAAGACAUACCCAGGGAGCUCCAAAGAUAAAUUCCAACUAUCAUGGAAGCCUUACUUCAUAGACCAAGAACCCCCCAGCGAGAGCAUAAUUAUACACGACCGGAUGCUCCGGAAAAUGGGGCCCAAAAUGACCGAGGCGGCGCAGAUGCGCCUAAAGCGCGUUGGGGCGGCGUUGGGUCUCGAUUUUAAGUUCGGAGGGUAUAUGGGUAGCUCUAGGCUUGCGCACGUACUUCUACAUACCACCGGUGCGGAGAAGGGGCUUGUGAUGCAAGGUGAGGUUUCCGAUAUAUUGUUCCGGUAUCAGUUGG
RNAcentral lists this small RNA (750 nucleotides) under Histoplasma capsulatum var. duboisii H88. Its description in RNAcentral is "Histoplasma capsulatum H88 hypothetical RNA". Lineage: Eukaryota; Fungi; Ascomycota; Eurotiomycetes; Onygenales; Ajellomycetaceae. The record is from RNAcentral.